This 443-nucleotide ribosomal RNA is filed under the name uncultured bacterium. RNAcentral describes it as "partial 16S ribosomal RNA". It matches the Rfam family "Bacterial small subunit ribosomal RNA", at positions 338 to 795 of the family's 1533-position model. The record is from RNAcentral.
CCUACGGGUGGCAGCAGUGGGGAAUAUUGCACAAUGGGGGAAACCCUGAUGCAGCAACGCCGCGUGAAGGAAGACGGUUGUCGGAUUGUAAACUUCUAUCAAUAGGGACGAAAGAAAUGACGAUACCUAAAUAAGAAGCCCCUGCUAACAACAUGCCAGCAGCCGCGGUAACACGUAGGGGGCAAGCGUUAUCCGGAAUUACUGGGUGUAAAGGGAGAGUAGGCGGCAAGGUAAGCGAUAUGUGAAAGCCUUAAGCUUAACUUAAGGAUGGCAUAACGAACUAUCUAGCUAGAGUACAGGAGAGGAAAGCGGAAUUCGUAGUGUAGCGGUGAAAUGCGUAGAUAUUAGGAAGAACACCAGUGGCGAAGGCGGCUUUCUGGACUGAAACUGACGCUGAGGCUCGAAAGCGUGGGGAGCGAACAGGAUUAGAUACUCGUGUAGUC